GCCGACAAGGAUUCGGUAUGAACGAAGGCAAUAUGGCUUUGAGCUAUUGGAUUUGGUGGAGGUUGGACAAAGGGAGUGUUCUGGAUCCGUCGAAGACGUGCCACGGAGUCGGCUUGUGCAAGUGGAGGCCGAAGGAAGCAGUCGUGAGGACGUAGGGGGACUGAUGUCAGCCACCGGCAUGCAUGUGGAUGCCAUUGGAUGUGAAGAUGCACCGGGGAAACUUCGGGCCACUGAUCCUACCA
Molecule: long non-coding RNA, 242 nt
Filed under: Elaeis guineensis (African oil palm)
Lineage: Eukaryota; Viridiplantae; Streptophyta; Magnoliopsida; Arecales; Arecaceae
Description: long non-coding RNA (EGUI_LNC040333)
Source: RNAcentral